RNAcentral lists this ribosomal RNA (1358 nucleotides) under uncultured bacterium. RNAcentral's name for it is "bacterial SSU rRNA". It matches the Rfam family "Bacterial small subunit ribosomal RNA", at positions 28 to 1381 of the family's 1533-position model. The record is from RNAcentral.
AUUGAACGCUGGCGGCAGGCUUAACACAUGCAAGUCGAGCGGGGUGAUGGUGCUUGCACUAUCACUUAGCGGCGGACGGGUGAGUAAUGCUUAGGAAUCUGCCUAUUAGUGGGGGACAACAUUUCGAAAGGAAUGCUAAUACCGCAUACGUCCUACGGGAGAAAGCAGGGGAUCUUCGGACCCUGCGCUAAUAGAUGAGCCUAAGUCGGAUUAGCUAGUUGGUGGGGUAAAGGCCUACCAAGGCGACGAUCUGUAGCGGGUCUGAGGGGAUGAUCCGCCACACUGGGACUGAGACACGGCCCAGACCCCUACGGGAGGCAGCAGUGGGGAAUAUUGGACAAUGGGCGCAAGCCUGAUCCAGCCAUGCCGCGUGUGUGAAGAAGGCCUUAUGGUUGUAAAGCACUUUAAGCGAGGAGGAGGCUACUUUAGUUAAUACCUAGAGAUAGUGGACGUUACUCGCAGAAUAAGCACCGGCUAACUCUGUGCCAGCAGCCGCGGUAAUACAGAGGGUGCAAGCGUUAAUCGGAUUUACUGGGCGUAAAGCGCGCGUAGGCGGCUAAUUAAGUCAAAUGUGAAAUCCCCGAGCUUAACUUGGGAAUUGCAUUCGAUACUGGUUAGCUAGAGUGUGGGAGAGGAUGGUAGAAUUCCAGGUGUAGCGGUGAAAUGCGUAGAGAUCUGGAGGAAUACCGAUGGCGAAGGCAGCCAUCUGGCCUAACACUGACGCUGAGGUGCGAAAGCAUGGGGAGCAAACAGGAUUAGAUACCCUGGUAGUCCAUGCCGUAAACGAUGUCUACUAGUCGUUGGGGCCUUUGAGGCUUUAGUGGCGCAGCUAACGCGAUAAGUAGACCGCCUGGGGAGUACGGUCGCAAGACUAAAACUCAAAUGAAUUGACGGGGCCCGCACAAGCGGUGGAGCAUGUGGUUUAAUUCGAUGCAACGCGAAGAACCUUACCUGGCCUUGACAUAGUAAGAACUUUCCAGAGAUGGAUUGGUGCCUUCGGGAACUUACAUACAGGUGCUGCAUGGCUGUCGUCAGCUCGUGUCGUGAGACGUUGGGUUAAGUCCCGCAACGAGCGCAACCCUUUUCCUUAUUUGCCAGCGAGUAAUGUCGGGAACUUUAAGGAUACUGCCAGUGACAAACUGGAGGAAGGCGGGGACGACGUCAAGUCAUCAUGGCCCUUACGGCCAGGGCUACACACGUGCUACAAUGGUCGGUACAAAGGGUUGCUACCUAGCGAUAGGAUGCUAAUCUCAAAAAGCCGAUCGUAGUCCGGAUUGGAGUCUGCAACUCGACUCCAUGAAGUCGGAAUCGCUAGUAAUCGCGGAUCAGAAUGCCGCGGUGAAUACGUUCCCGGGCCU